RNAcentral lists this long non-coding RNA (4590 nucleotides) under Nicotiana tabacum (common tobacco). RNAcentral describes it as "long non-coding RNA (NTAB_LNC019420)". Lineage: Eukaryota; Viridiplantae; Streptophyta; Magnoliopsida; Solanales; Solanaceae. The record is from RNAcentral.
AAAGCUUUCCAUAUCAGGAAUUUUUCAUAAAAUCAAAGUUGAACUCAAUAUAGAAUCAAAAUGCGGAAACCAGCCCUAAACAUUGGGGUGACACUAGUCAUAAGCGUCUAAGUAUUUAAAACUAUUAUAGUCAAUGUCUAAAUAUCAGUACAAAAUGGAAGGAAAUAUGGAAGGAGUAACAAGGUCCUGCGGACGCUGGCAGCUACCUUGCAGUCUCUGAAACUCAACCAGGCCUGGACUCAACAAUCUUCGUGCUCAGACACACCUCGAUCUGCACAUGUAGUGCAGGGUGUAGUAUGAGUACAACCAACUCAGCAAGUAACAGAAAUAAAUAAGGAACUGAGAAGCAGUGACGAGCUAUACAGUACAGUUCAUUUUAAAAGUUUUCAUUAAAGAGUGAACAUGCUUUCAAAUCCUAUGGUAUAAGUCAAAUCAGUUCGCGCUCAUGUAAAACAGAUAUGAAUCUUCCAGAAAUUUCAUAACAUCAGAUAACAACUAAGUGCAACAAUAAAUAAAAGCAAGUACAGCCUCUCAAGGCAGCAGUCACUCAACCCAUCUCAACAGCUCACACUCUCGGCUCUCAGCCCUCAAUACACACUCCCAAUAGGUACCUGCGCUCACUGUGGGUGUUCAGACUCAUGAGGGCCUCCUACAUCCCAAGUGCUAUAAUCCGCACGGACAACUCACGUGCUAUAAUAUCAUAUCUUGAUUCGCACGGAUAACUCACGUGAUGCACGGACAACUCACGUGACAUAGUAUAAACAUAAGGAUCUGCACGGAUAACUAACGUGUCAUAGAACAAUACCUCAGAACCAGACCCUCGGCCUUACUCAGUCAUGAACCUCUCUAGUCUCAUAGCUCUCAAUAAAGAAAGGAAAAACAGCCCAAAUCAAAGUGUUACACUAUAUCAUCAGAAAAAAUAGCAGAGACUGAGGUAAACAUGUACAAGAAACACUAUGACUGAAUAUAACUACCAGAAGCAGGAAUAUAGCCUAAGCAUGAUUUCUAACAUGAAAGGCAGUCAAGUUCUAGUAGACAGGAAUGCAUAUGAAUACAAAUAAAGGCCAUUAGACUUCACAGUCUCCCGAGACGGACCAAGUCUCGAUCCCUCACGGUGUACAUCCACACGCCCGUCACCUAGCAUGGGUGUCACCUCCAAACAGUCACAUUAUACCAAACUCCGGGUUUCAUACCCUCAAGACCAGAUUUAAAACUGUUACUUAUCUCAACAACGUAGAACUCCUACUCCAGAAUGCUCUUUCCUCUCGAACCGACCUCCAAAUGACCCGAAUCUAGACACAAGCAAUAAAAUACGAUCAAUAUGAGCUAAAGGAAUUAAUCCCACAAGGAAAAUACCAAUUUAUAGGCCAAAUCCUGAAAUUCACUCAAACCCUACUCCCGAGCCCACGUCUCGAAAUCCAACAAAAGUCACAAAACCAAAAAGCCAAUUCACUCCCGAGUUUACCCAUACUAAAUUCAUUAAAAUCCGACCUCAUUUGGUCCCUCAAAUCCCCAAAUUACUCUCUCUAAAAUCUCAAGCCCUAACCCCGUAUUUCACUCCAAAAAUCCUACUAAUUAGGUGAGAAGUUAACGGAAAAAUACCAUAGCUAAUGAUAAUAGAGCUCCAGUAACUUACCUCAGUGAAUACACUUGAAUCCCUUCAAAAGUCACUCCAAGAGCUCCAAAAAUCGACUUGAAAGUGGUGGAAAUGAACCAAAAUUCGCGAAGUAUUCAAUUUAUAGUUUCUGCCCAGGUUUUUCGCACCUGCGGCUAAAUAUGCGCACCUGCAGUGCCGCAUAUGCUCAAGAACCUCCGCACCUGCGAAAAAUCAAUAAAACCCCCAACCUCGCACCUGCGCUUCAUAUCCGCAUCUGCGACCACGCAGGUGCGGAAAAAACCUCGUACCUGCGGCCACUGCCUGACCUCUCACUUCCGCUUCUGCGGGCACCUAUCCGUAUCUGCGGACUCGCAGAUGCAACCUCUCCUACGCACCUGCGGACCCAGCCUACCUCAACACUGUCCGCACCUGCGAACUCCCACGCGCGCCUGCGACCUCGCACCUGCAGCUCCCCCUCCGCAGGUGCGAAAUACCAGUAACAGCAGCUGCUGCUUUAUUUUUCAAUUUCAAACAAUCCAUUAACCACCCGGACUCACUCCGAGCCCCUCGGGACCUCGACCAAACAUACCAACAAGUCAUAUAUCAACAUAUAAAUUUAGUCGAACCUUCGAAACACUCAAAACUACAUCAAAAUACCAAAUUACCCUCGGAUUCAAGUCUAAGAACUUCUAAACUUCCAAAUUCGACAACCGAUGCUGAAACUAACUAAACCAUGUCCGAAUGACCUCAAAUUUUACACACACGUAAAAAAUGAUAUCACGAACCUACUCCAACCUUCAAAAAUCCAUUCCGACCCCGAUAUCAAAUUUUCCGCAGCCGACCGAAAUCGUCAAAUUUUCAACUUUCGUCAAUUCAAACCUAAUUUCACUACGGACCUCCAAAUCACAUUCCGGACGCGCUCUUAGGUCCAAAAUCACCUAACAAAGCUAAUGGAACCAUCAUAAUUUAAAUCUGAGAUCGUUUACAUAUAAGUCAAUAUGUGAUUGAUCUUUCCAACUUAAGCUUCUACUUUAGAGACUAAGUGUCCCAAUCCACUCCGGACCCGAACUAACUAACCUGAUAUAUCAUAAUACAGCUGAAAAGCACAAAAGGAAAUAGAAAUGGGGAAAACGGGACUAUAACUCUCGAAACAACCGGCCGGGUCAUUACAGUUGCAGAGUAGUUUUUACCAUCCAUCAAUUGCUCAAUAAAAGGUCGCAUAUCUCCAUCAUCAUCUUGUUCAAUUACCAGUCGGUUGCGCCUCUAGGUUGCAUAGUUCCUUUUCCAAGAUGAAGAAAUUAUCUAGCUUCAUUACUUUAUACUAGUACCAGAAUAGCUCCAACAGACUAGUAGGUCAUAUGCAAAAUAGGAGAAAGCAUCUUCCUCAUCUCAAACUGUUAAAAACAAAUAAAUAGCGAUCUAUGUACACACACACAAAGUCUUGCGACACACAUCCUCAUCAUAUGACGGCAUAAUACCAUUAACUACAAGAUGAUCAUAUGUUGUAGCCUGAUUUACUUGAUGAAUAAGCACACAUUUCAUACAAGGACAUGUAAUUUUUUCUCCGCCUUGUUUUCCAGAAAAGGCAUAGUUCAUAAAAUCUUCUACUCCGUCCAAGUAUUCUUUACUAUAUCACAAUACAUCCAUUUUUUUUUUCUAGGAAUGUCAUGUUUUUUCCCUGAAAUUACUGUAAGAACUAAAAAUAAUUAGUAAAAGGGAGGAGAAUUCUUAGUGAAUUAAGAAACAUGGAAGAAGCAGACAAAAUAAGAGAUAAAGUUACUCUACAAAAGCAAAUCAAUAUCUGUAGUGUAUGCCAUCUUUUUUUCUAGCACCAAUGGGUAUAAGUUCAUGAUUUAAUUUAAAUAGCUUUAAGGAUUAGAGAAUCAUGAUCUAACACCUAUUUCUCAUGAACUCCAUCCUAACCGAUCUUUUUACACACAAACACGUUGAUCCAGAUUCAUCAUAUAACAAAGACAGAAUAACUACUACUUUCAAAAAAGACAUUUCUAUUCUAAUAACUGAUAUAAAAUCUCCAUAAAAAUACAACUUUCACUACUUAAAAAUCAAAGAAGAUUAAAGUAUUACCAAAUCCAAAAGACGACUUGAACUUGGUAUAAUUUCAAGGCGAUCAUCAUUAAGAAUGAAGUUUACUAUGAUGAAAUCAACAAGAAAGAGUUCCUUCAUAGCAAAGAUUUUUAAAUUGCUAGUAGUGGAUGUUCACGUAGAAUAAUCACACAACUUCAAUAAUGAGACUCGGUCUAUCUAGCCAGAAGAAAUAGUUCUGAGAAUGAACACAAAGUGCAGCAAAAUAUUCCACGAGCAUAAACAACUACCAACAUUAUAAUUCAAAACAUAAACUUUUCUCCACCCUUAACAUUCAAUCUGCCAAGCUAGCUAAUUGAAUUGAUCCAGCAAAUACAAUUUCAACCAUACCGAGAGAUUUUAAAUUCAAAAUUAUAGUCUCCCUAAAACAAGAACACCACAAUUAAUUAUAAGAACUGUCUUAAGUUAUCUUAUUUAAAUCAAUUCAAUUAUAUUAUAGCAAAAUAAAAAAGAUUAGGAAGAUAUUUGAGAAAUAGGAUGAUCUUAGUAGCUAUCAUGAAUGACAGUCCGAGGAGACGAAAUUUUCAUCAUCUGACUUAAUAAACACAUAUGUAAAAACAUAGAGCAAAAGCUAUUUAAUGGCAAUCAACACAUUCUUAACAAACAAGACCUUGUAGAAAGCACUAAAGUCUGCUAUGUUUUUAAGCACAAAGAAUAACAAAACAAUAAAACAUGAGAUAUAGCGAAGAAAGGUGUUUAUAAGGGAAAAAAUUGAGUUGGGCUUUUAGGUAUUAAGUCAAAAAGGUUCAAUAUUUCUGUUGUCAUAUGCAUUGAACCCUAAAUUCUAAAAGAUAGAGAUAGAAAUAGAAAAUGUAUAAAGAGAAAUUGAAAAAUAUUGAAUUAGAAAUAAAGAGAUUAAUCAAAACCGUACCUACAACCUACGAAGAAUU